UUAUGGCCAUAUUAUGUUGAAACACCAAUUCCCAUAUGAUCACCAAAGUUAAGCAUUGUCGAGCCUGGUCAGUACUGAGAUAGGUCACAACUUAGGAAUACCAGGUGCU
Acanthosepion pharaonis is the source of this 109-nucleotide non-coding RNA. The record is from the annotation of a GenBank genome assembly. Lineage: Eukaryota; Metazoa; Mollusca; Cephalopoda; Sepiida; Sepiidae.